UACAUUCAUGCACUGAUUACUAUUCUAUUAAAUUGAGAAGCACUACUUCAUGUAUGCGGACACACAUCUUGUGCUGGAUAUGCUUUGUCUAUAGCUUGGUAAACUUGUUUAUUAUUUUGGGGACAAAUUUCUGCUUCUGAUGUCAAAUAUGCACUUUAAUCUAUUAUUGGGUAUGCCAAAUAUUAUCAAGGUGUGUUUCAGUAUUAGUUUAUAGACAUGGACAAAUUAUACUCUUCUAACAAACAGUAUGUCUGACUGCUGAUUCGCUUGGAGCAGCAAAUUCAUAUAUUGCCGGCAUAGUUGAUUGAGGAUGCAAUUAUUCUAAUGCUUUGAUUUUCUAAGAAGUGAAUGCAAAUGCUGAUUAGUACUAUUGCUAUAGUCAGUGGCGGAGAUUUGAAUAAAAUGUUGGGCAGGCUAGACUACAUAGAGCAUCUCGUUUUUUAGAUUCUGAAUUAUAGACGGUAGUACUGUUGUUGUUUGCAUGUGCAGUUACCGCUGCUGUCUAGUGUCAGUGCCUUGCGUGCUGGCAUUGUGCAAGAGCAGACAGAGCCUUCAGGCUUUGGAUCGGGCUUGCGGUGGAGUGCCUGCCUGCAUAUCCCAGUAGGUUGUCCAAUGAAGCGAAACAUAGGUACAAAGAAGUGUUGAAAUCAUGGGCGUUGGGCCCUUAACAAAGCUCCUAACUUGGAUAUAGUGUUGGUGCACAACACCAGGCUUUUACGUUACAUUUUUAUGAUACUGUUGCAAAUGAAAUGGUUUUGAUAACAAGAGUGCUUCCUAGUUGUACUUUUACCAACAAAUGAUCUCUAGAUCCAGAAGGUCGUCCAACCGACUAACACCAAGUUCACACCCUCCUAUGUAUCUACUACUUGUGCUACUUUUUAUUGGCCGGUGUUAGGUGCUGUGAAGUAGCUCAAUUAUGCCAACGUUAGAUGCUUAGCCUAUAGUUAUAAGGAUUACGUGUUUCUGUUGCUUUUGCUACAUUUUUUGUGCCCUGAAUGAAUGUUCCUGCCGCUUUCUAGCAUGUGGUCUCGGUUUGUGUUUUUCUUGGAAAGUCUUUCUCUCUUGAGAAUCAUAUUUUGGACGGGGUGAUUGUUCUGUCAAAUGUGAACUAUUUAUUAGGGUUGAUAUUUGUGCUACUAAUGCAUACUACCUUCUCCACCCAUCUAGCGGUGUACGGGAGACAUCCUUGACGCGGUCGUUGCCAAAGACCGGUGUUUAUAGUCAAGGUUCUGAUUCAAAAGAUAUAGGGACGACUAAACGGGUGUGUGACAACUAUACAACAGAGAUGUUGAUGUUCUGGUUCACGAUGAUGAGGAUGAUGUCUGUUUUCAGUUUUAGUUAUGAUGGUUGUUUUCAGUUUUAGUUAAGUUGUAGGCAUGAUGUGCCUGUUUGAUAGUGUUACUCGGUUAAGUUUUAGUUAAAUUGUAGAGAUGUUGAUGGAUGUUUUCGAUUUCAAUUUUUCUGUCAAGAAAAUAUUUAGAUUAUGCAUCACAUUUGGGUGAUAUUACUCAUGUAAUAUCAACUCAUGUAAUAUCAACUAUUGUAAUCCAACAAUUUUUUUAAUAUAUGAUUUCUUCCUCUUGUGAGUAUAUAUUUUUCUUCGUAUA
Hordeum vulgare subsp. vulgare (domesticated barley) is the source of this 1607-nucleotide RNA transcript. RefSeq lists it as uncharacterized. The record is from RefSeq and is a predicted model, not a curated record. The transcript has 3 exons. Lineage: Eukaryota; Viridiplantae; Streptophyta; Magnoliopsida; Poales; Poaceae.